UUGAAAUUAAUUAUAAUAAUAAUAAUUAUUCGCGAAAUUAGAGCCAGUGUUUGUUCGUCGAUUGAAAUUUAAACGGGCGCGUCAAUAGUCUUAUAUUUUAUUUUUUUUUCUUUUUUAAAUAUUCGUUAUAUAUUCGGAUAUAUAUUUAGAGUCAGUGAAUCAAGAGAAUAAGGCGAUCAUCCAUCACUCGAAGAGAUGCUGAUGGUUUUGCCGUUUUUUCUUGGACUUAAAUCUUAACAAAUAUUUGUAACCGCGCGCAAUGCGGUUGGUAGAGUCAGUGUUUUCUUCGUAAUAGUAUUUUAAAUAUUUUUUAGAGCACAGCUGCUCUAAUUGAAAUUAAUUAUAAUAAUAAUAAUUAUUCGCGAAAUUAGAGCCAGUGUUUGUUCGCCGAUUGUAAUUUGAACGGUCGCAUUAAAAAUUUUUUUUUAUUUUUUUUUAUUUUUUUUUAAAUAUUCGUUUCGGAUACAUAUUAGAGUCAGUGAUUCAAGAUUAUAAGGCGAUCAUCCAUCACGUGAAGAGUUUCUUGAUGAGGACUUCCCAUGGGUGAACAUCGAUGGCAAUGCAGAUUCUUCGCAUCAAUGGUGAGUCGCAUGCAUUUUGUUUCCUCUGGUUACUCAAUCAUGUCGUAGGAUGAAAGAUCCAAAUCGACACGGGUAAAACUGGUUGUAUACGUAGAAUUUUGCACGAACACAGUGACCGCGGAUAUUUAUUAUCCGUGAAUAGUAACAUUUUCUUUUGUAUUUUAUUUAUUAGUUUAGGCUAGGUCUUCUUGUACAUCGCGUUUUUAAAUAUUAAUAAUUUUCUAAAACAAUUAAUUCUAAAAUUAAAUUAUUAC
Molecule: long non-coding RNA, 835 nt
Organism: Apis dorsata (giant honeybee)
Lineage: Eukaryota; Metazoa; Arthropoda; Insecta; Hymenoptera; Apidae
Exons: 3
Source: RefSeq, a predicted model, not a curated record